UCCCCUACGGGGGGCAGCAGUAGGGAAUAUUAGUAAUGGGCGAAAGCCUGAACUAGCAACGCCGCGUGUGCGAAGAAGGCCUUCGGGUUGUAAAGCACUUUUUGAGAGGAUGAGGAAGGACGGUACUCUCAGAAUAAGUCUCGGCUAACUACGUGCCAGCAGCCGCGGUAACACAUAGGAGGCGAACGUUAUCCGGAUUUACUGGGCGUAAAGCGCGUGUAGGUGGUUUGGUAAGUAGGGCGUGAAAGCUCCUGGCUCAACUGGGAGAGGCCGUUCUAAACUGCCGAACUAGAGGAUGGUAGAGGGAGGUGGAAUUCCGGGUGUAGCGGUGGAAUGCGCAGAUAUCCGGAGGAACACCAGUGGCGAAAGCGGCCUCCUGGACCAUUCCAGACACUCAGACGCGACAGCUAGGGUAGCAAACGGGAUUAGAUACCCGAGUAGUCAU
Molecule: ribosomal RNA, 445 nt
Filed under: uncultured bacterium
Lineage: Bacteria
Description: bacterial SSU rRNA
Rfam family: Bacterial small subunit ribosomal RNA
Source: RNAcentral